Non-coding RNA from Pangasius djambal, 72 nucleotides. The record is from the annotation of a GenBank genome assembly. NCBI's taxonomy places the organism in Eukaryota, Metazoa, Chordata, Actinopteri, Siluriformes, Pangasiidae.
UCCCUGGAGGAUUAGUGGUUAGGCCACAGCGCUCUCACCACUGUAGCCCGGGUUUGAUCCCUGGCCAGGGCU